AGAGAAGCAGCACUAAUAGGAUCCGAGGCGGUUCGUUGCAGUUGGUACAUGGUGGCUUCAAGGUGCUCGGUUGGCUUCACCCUCAGGCACAUGACCCAAUUCACAAAACGCAAGAAACACACGACCGACCGAGCGCACGGAACAGCUUCCACAAGGCAGUUCUUCAUCCCCGGCUCGCUGACCAGGAUGGAAAGAUAUAUACCGAUAAAGGAGCGAUAUCCGCCGCCGCUCAACACACACUGACAUCAAACCCAUCAGAAGUGCUACAUACACACAAACAUAUACACACAUACACACACAGCCCCCCGUCCGCGGCCUCCCCGCCCCCGGGCCUGAGGCCUGCGGCCGUUGUGGCAGUACUUUCAAACCCCUGCAUUGCACGUGUGCUGGGCCGCGCCACACAUAUAACUUCCCCUCCCCCCAAAUAAAAGCACACAUCCCGCACCUCACAUCCUUUCACCCCUCGUCCGUGGUACCCGCAUCGCAAUCGCCUCCUCCUCCUCCCACCAUUGCCGCCUGCUUCUCCUUAACAGGACAACCACCACAACCACCACCACCCACAACCUCGGGGUGACUGAUACACACAAAAUCGCAAACACGCACGUACGUCUAUCACGUACACGCGUACAAUUGUGCUCCGGAACCUGCCUCGGCGGCACCACAGAACAACACACUUAUACACACACAAACACACACACGCACGGCCCUCAGUCCCCCCCCGGUCGUAAAGCCAUUGCGGCUUUCCACCACCUUCCCACAUCAUAAGGGGGUUCCCCACGUCGCAACCGAAAAUUCGACACCCUGUCAAUACAUACAUACAUACAUGCAUACAUAUAUACAUGUAUUACGUAAAACAGACAUACCUACGGACAAAUGUGUGGGGGUUGGCUGCGGGUGCACGUACGGAAGGAACGUGGCGGGAAGGAGCGGGGUCUUAGGGUCUCAACCUUGCACGGCGUUUAUACGACACGCGCUCAUACCUCCUGCUUGCUAGGCCCCUCCCUCCCUCCCCCCACACGCUCCAGCUCUAGUCCGGGGGAAGAGUCCUCCCCCGUCCCGCAGGAAACAAAUUAACAUAAACACUCAUCUUGCGCGCACGCAAAACACACAUACAUACAUACAUAAAGGUCCCAGAAGCAGGUCGCCACAGAGUACGGCAACCCCUGAGCCCCAUCAGUGAAACCGUAUCUCCCUUUUUCCAUUUCCCCUCCAAACACACACACACUUCUUAAGAGCCACGGGUACCUCACUGCGACGCCACCGCCAGGUCACUUCUGAUGCUUUCGAAAAAUCCACCAACCGCCAACCACCAUCAGUUGUGCCACAUCCGACGCGUCCACAGCUACAGCCGCACUGCGCACCCUGUUCUCCCCCCCCCGGCCUCACGGCUGCAGGUCAGAUCAGGGAGAGCAACCACCACAAAUACACAUAUGACAGAGACUGUGUCCCGUCACCGUCAUCCAUGACCAAGGAUUCGACGGCCCCUACUCCCCCCCCUCUCCUCUCG
This 1507-nucleotide long non-coding RNA is filed under the name Volvox carteri. Its description in RNAcentral is "long non-coding RNA (VCAR_LNC002187)". Lineage: Eukaryota; Viridiplantae; Chlorophyta; Chlorophyceae; Chlamydomonadales; Volvocaceae. The record is from RNAcentral.